GGGUCGAUGCUCGAGUGGUUAAUGGGGGCGGAUUGUAAAUCCGUUGGCGUGAGCCUACGCUGGUUCAAAUCCAGCUCGGCCCA
This is a non-coding RNA of Beta vulgaris subsp. vulgaris (sugar beet), 83 nucleotides long. The record is from Rfam. Lineage: Eukaryota; Viridiplantae; Streptophyta; Magnoliopsida; Caryophyllales; Amaranthaceae.